Molecule: non-coding RNA, 488 nt
Organism: Myodes glareolus (Bank vole)
Lineage: Eukaryota; Metazoa; Chordata; Mammalia; Rodentia; Cricetidae
Source: RefSeq, a predicted model, not a curated record
UUUGCAACUAGCUCCUGCAACAGCAGACUUAUCUGAGGUGAGCCCACUGCCUUGGAGAGUACUUCCACUGUGACUCUCCUUCAUGGAGAAGAAUGCAAAGGAUAACAGGAGGCCUGUGAAGCAGGCCAUAAAAGAGCACCUGGUCUUCCUCUAGAGUUGGUCAUGAGACUUACAACGUGGGGAGGAGUCUUCCUGUACCUGGACAAAUGAGAAAAUCCUUGACUGGGACAGGGAAGAACAUGAUCUGGACAAUUUCUGCAAAUUCCCCUGUUAGCCACCAUUUCAUCAUAUUCUCUAUCCAACCAUUCUUCUGCAUGACUCUUCACAUUCCAUCAAGUUGAGCAUCAACCACACACAAGAUCAGCUAUUUCUCUGGGUGAGCUGAUGGAGAAAGAGGGCUGAGCAGUCAAGGUUGCUCAACAUCCAAGUACCUAAGACCAAUCAAUUCUUCCUUAGUCACAAUUUCUGCAACCUUCAGUUCUUCCCAG